Amphimedon queenslandica is the source of this 272-nucleotide long non-coding RNA. RefSeq lists it as uncharacterized. The record is from RefSeq and is a predicted model, not a curated record. Lineage: Eukaryota; Metazoa; Porifera; Demospongiae; Haplosclerida; Niphatidae. The transcript has 3 exons.
UACAGUGAAUGAUUUGUUACUUUAUUUUAGAGAAUUUGAAUGAGGAUGCUGAAUUAUUUCAAAAACAAGGUUCCCAAUUGAGGCAAAAAUAUAGGAACAAAAAUUAUAAGUUGUGGGCAAUCCUUAUUUGCAUAAUAUUGAUUAUUGUUCUGGCAAUUGCUGGAGUAGUUGCUGGAUUAUUAGGAUGUCAUUUUCAUAAAAAUUGCUCACUAUAACUGUUAUAAUUGAUGAGUUUAUAUAAAACUGUUAUCAUUGUCCUCUGUAUAUAACAA